ACGGGCGCACGGGUGAGUAACACGUAUCCAACCUGCCGUCUACUCUUGGACAGCCUUCUGAAAGGAAGAUUAAUACAAGAUGGCAUCAUGAGUUCACAUGUUCACAUGGUUAAAGGUAUUCCGGUAGACGAUGGGGAUGCGUUCCAUUAGAUAGUAGGCGGGGUAACGGCCCACCUAGUCUUCGAUGGAUAGGGGUUCUGAGAGGAAGGUCCCCCACAUUGGAACUGAGACACGGUCCAAACUCCUACGGGAGGCAGCAGUGAGGAAUAUUGGUCAAUGGGCGCAGGCCUGAACCAGCCAAGUAGCGUGAAGGAUGACUGCCCUAUGGGUUGUAAACUUCUUUUAUAAAGGAAUAAAGUCGGGUAUGUAUACCCGUUUGCAUGUACUUUAUGAAUAAGGAUCGGCUAACUCCGUGCCAGCAGCCGCGGUAAUACGGAGGAUCCGAGCGUUAUCCGGAUUUAUUGGGUUUAAAGGGAGCGUAGAUGGAUGUUUAAGUCAGUUGUGAAAGUUUGCGGCUCAACCGUAAAAUUGCAGUUGAUACUGGAUAUCUUGAGUGCAGUUGAGGCAGGCGGAAUUCGUGGUGUAGCGGUGAAAUGCUUAGAUAUCACGAAGAA
This 614-nucleotide ribosomal RNA is filed under the name uncultured Bacteroidales bacterium. RNAcentral describes it as "bacterial SSU rRNA". It matches the Rfam family "Bacterial small subunit ribosomal RNA", at positions 94 to 706 of the family's 1533-position model. The record is from RNAcentral. Lineage: Bacteria; Pseudomonadati; Bacteroidota; Bacteroidia; Bacteroidales.